Molecule: ribosomal RNA, 490 nt
Filed under: uncultured bacterium
Lineage: Bacteria
Description: partial 16S ribosomal RNA
Rfam family: Bacterial small subunit ribosomal RNA
Source: RNAcentral
AAUGAACGCUGGCGGCAUGCCUUACACAUGCAAGUCGAACGGCAGCAUGACCUAGCUUGCUAGGUUGAUGGCGAGUGGCGCACGGGUGAGUAAUGCAUCGGAACGUGCUUUUUGGUGGGGGAUAACGUAGCGAAAGUUACGCUAAUCCCGCAUAUUCUCUGAGGAGGAAAGCAGGGGACCUUCGGGCCUUGCGCUAGAAGAGCGGCCGAUGUCGGAUUAGCUAGUUGGUGAGGUAAAGGCUCACCAAGGCAACGAUCCGUAGCGGGUCUGAGAGGAUGAUCCGCCACACUGGGACUGAGACACGGCCCAGACUCCUACGGGAGGCAGCAGUGGGGAAUUUUGGACAAUGGGCGCAAGCCUGAUCCAGCCAUGCCGCGUGAGUGAAGAAGGCCUUCGGGUUGUAAAGCUCUUUCGGCUGGGAAGAAAUCGCACCCUCUAAUACAGGGUGUGGAUGACGGUACCAGAAUAAGAAGCACCGGCUAACUACGUG